UACGUAGGGUGCGAGCGUUAAUCGGAAUUACUGGGCGUAACGAGUGCGUAGGCGGUUCUUUGUGUCCGCUGUGAAAGCCCCGGGCUUAACCUGGGAAUGGCAGUGGAAACUAGAGAACUUGAAUCUGGCAGAGGGGGGUGGAAUGCCACGUGUAGCAGUGAAAUGCGUAGAUAUGUGGCGGAACACCGAUGGCGAAGGCAGCCCCCUGGGCUGAGAUUGACGCUCAGGCACGAAAGCGUGGGGAGCAAACAGG
Molecule: ribosomal RNA, 253 nt
Filed under: uncultured bacterium
Lineage: Bacteria
Description: partial 16S ribosomal RNA
Rfam family: Bacterial small subunit ribosomal RNA
Source: RNAcentral